Molecule: ribosomal RNA, 225 nt
Filed under: uncultured Anoxybacillus sp.
Lineage: Bacteria; Bacillati; Bacillota; Bacilli; Caryophanales; Anoxybacillaceae
Description: partial 16S ribosomal RNA
Rfam family: Bacterial small subunit ribosomal RNA
Source: RNAcentral
GUCGGAGGAAGGUGGGGAUGACGUCAAAUCAUCAUCGCCCCUUUAUGACCUGGGCUACACACGUGCUACAAUGGGCGGUAACGAAAGGGUCGCGAACCCGCGAGGGGGAGCCAAUCCCAAAAAGCCGCUCUCAGUUCGGAUUGCAGGCUGCAACUCGCCUGCAUGAAGCCGGAAUCGCUAGUAAUCGCGGAUCAGCAUGCCGCGGUGAAUACGUUCCCGGGCCUU